GAUGAAGAACGCAGCGAAAUGCGAUACGUAAUGUGAAUUGCAGAAUUCAGUGAAUCAUCGAGUCUUUGAACGCACAUUGCGCCCCCUUGUAUUCCGGGGGGCAUGCCUGUCCGAGCGUCAUUGCUGCCCUCAAGCACGGCUUGUGUGUUGGGCCUCCGUCCUCCUCCCGGGGGACGGGCCCGAAAGGCAGCGGCGGCACCGCGUCCGGUCCUCGAGCGUAUGGGGCUUCGUCACCCGCUCUUGUAGGCCCGGCCGGCGCUUGCCGACACAUCAAUCUUUUUUCCAGGUUGACCUCGGACCAGGUAGGGAUACCCGCUGAACUUAAGCAUAUCAAUAAGCGGAGGA
This 345-nucleotide unclassified non-coding RNA is filed under the name soil metagenome. RNAcentral's name for it is "partial contains 5.8S ribosomal RNA, internal transcribed spacer 2, and large subunit ribosomal RNA". The stretch from base 1 to 120 matches the Rfam family "5.8S ribosomal RNA", at positions 35 to 154 of the family's 154-position model. The record is from RNAcentral.